GAGUUUGAUCAUGGCUCAGAUUGAACGCUGGCGGCAGGCCUGACACAUGCAAGUCGAGCGGUAGCACAGAGAGCUUGCUCUCGGGUGACGAGCGGCGGACGGGUGAGUAAUGUCUGGGAAACUGCCUGAUGGAGGGGGAUAACUACUGGAAACGGUAGCUAAUACCGCAUAAUGUCGCAAGACCAAAGUGGGGGACCUUCGGGCCUCAUGCCAUCAGAUGUGCCCAGAUGGGAUUAGCUAGUAGGUGGGGUAACGGCUCACCUAGGCGACGAUCCCUAGCUGGUCUGAGAGGAUGACCAGCCACACUGGAACUGAGACACGGUCCAGACUCCUACGGGAGGCAGCAGUGGGGAAUAUUGCACAAUGGGCGCAAGCCUGAUGCAGCCAUGCCGCGUGUGUGAAGAAGGCCUUCGGGUUGUAAAGCACUUUCAGCGGGGAGGAAGGCGAUAAGKUUAAUAACCUUGUCGAUUGACGUUACCCGCAGAAGAAGCACCGGCUAACUCCGUGCCAGCAGCCGCGGUAAUACGGAGGGUGCAAGCGUUAAUCGGAAUUACUGGGCGUAAAGCGCACGCAGGCGGUCUGUCAAGUCGGAUGUGAAAUCCCCGGGCUCAACCUGGGAACUGCAUUCGAAACUGGCAGGCUAGAGUCUUGUAGAGGGGGGUAGAAUUCCAGGUGUAGCGGUGAAAUGCGUAGAGAUCUGGAGGAAUACCGGUGGCGAAGGCGGCCCCCUGGACAAAGACUGACGCUCAGGUGCGAAAGCGUGGGGAGCAAACAGGAUUAGAUACCCUGGUAGUCCACGCCGUAAACGAUGUCGAUUUGGAGGUUGUGCCCUUGAGGCGUGGCUUCCGGAGCUAACGCGUUAAAUCGACCGCCUGGGGAGUACGGCCGCAAGGUUAAAACUCAAAUGAAUUGACGGGGGCCCGCACAAGCGGUGGAGCAUGUGGUUUAAUUCGAUGCAACGCGAAGAACCUUACCUGGUCUUGACAUCCACAGAACUUAGCAGAGAUGCUUUGGUGCCUUCGGGAACUGUGAGACAGGUGCUGCAUGGCUGUCGUCAGCUCGUGUUGUGAAAUGUUGGGUUAAGUCCCGCAACGAGCGCAACCCUUAUCCUUUGUUGCCAGCGGUUAGGCCGGGAACUCAAAGGAGACUGCCAGUGAUAAACUGGAGGAAGGUGGGGAUGACGUCAAGUCAUCAUGGCCCUUACGACCAGGGCUACACACGUGCUACAAUGGCAUAUACAAAGAGAAGCGACCUCGCGAGAGCAAGCGGACCUCAUAAAGUAUGUCGUAGUCCGGAUUGGAGUCUGCAACUCGACUCCAUGAAGUCGGAAUCGCUAGUAAUCGUAGAUCAGAAUGCUACGGUGAAUACGUUCCCGGGCCUUGUACACACCGCCCGUCACACCAUGGGAGUGGGUUGCAAAAGAAGUAGGUAGCUUAACCUUCGGGAGGGCGCUUACCACUUUGUGAUUCAUGACUGGGGUGAAGUCGUAACAAGGUAACCGUAA
This 1504-nucleotide ribosomal RNA is filed under the name Klebsiella sp. Y12. Its description in RNAcentral is "bacterial SSU rRNA". It matches the Rfam family "Bacterial small subunit ribosomal RNA". The record is from RNAcentral. Lineage: Bacteria; Pseudomonadati; Pseudomonadota; Gammaproteobacteria; Enterobacterales; Enterobacteriaceae.